RNAcentral lists this ribosomal RNA (247 nucleotides) under uncultured archaeon. RNAcentral's name for it is "partial 16S ribosomal RNA". It matches the Rfam family "Archaeal small subunit ribosomal RNA", at positions 691 to 938 of the family's 1478-position model. The record is from RNAcentral.
CCGACGGUGAGGGGCGAAACCCUGGGGCGCAAACCGGAUAGAUACCCGGGUAGUCCAGGGCGUAAACGCUGCAGGCUUGGUGUUGGGGGCCCUACGUGGGCGCUCAGUGCCGGAGUGAAGAUGUUAAGCCUGCCGCUUGGGGAGUAUGUCCGCAAGGAUGAAACUUAAAGGAAUUGGCGGGAGAGCACAGCAACGGGAGGAGCGUGCGGUUCAAUUGGAUUCAACGCCGUAAAACUCACCGGGAGCG